Molecule: long non-coding RNA, 680 nt
Filed under: Theobroma cacao (cacao)
Lineage: Eukaryota; Viridiplantae; Streptophyta; Magnoliopsida; Malvales; Malvaceae
Description: long non-coding RNA (TCAC_LNC002551)
Source: RNAcentral
AUAAAAUAAUAAGUUAAAAUCUUACUUUAGUAUUUCUUAAUUGCAAAUGCAAAAUCAAUCCUUCCUUUGAUUCAUUUGCAAAUGCAAAAUCAAGAAAUCGUCUAAUUCCAUCUAUGUAUCCUUUACUUAAUCUAGAGCAAUACAUCCAACUUUUAUCUAUCAUCUUUAUAGAACUACUCAAAUUCAUUGAAAAAAAAUUAUUGAAAAGUAAAUCUACUUAUGAUAAUUGUACAAAUUAUCUAGUUUUCUUAAUAAAGACAUAUAAAUUAUAUAUUUAUCUUAAUAAAGACAUAUAAAAUAUUUGCAUGCAUAUUAAAGUAUUCAAAGGUGUUAAUAUACAUAUAAUAAAUAUGGAGGCCAUGCUUUUACUAAUAUGUUUUUAUAGAAAAUGCUAAUAAACUUUCAAUCUUUGAUUGAAAACAAAGAUUCUUAGUUUAUUUAUUUAUGAUUCACAUAACACAAUGGUUUAACUUUCUUUAAGUCAAUUUAUUUUCACACUAUGCCAGUUGCGUGCUUACAUUAGGGGUUAUUUGAACCUUGUAUCAUGAAAUUUUUUUUGACCCACGAGAUUGAAUAAGCAUGGUGUAAUGAUGUGAGAUAAAGCCACCAUAAAAUCUUCAUUUUUUGGGUGAAGAUAAGCACUAUCAUAGAGUUUAUCACAGAGUUUCUUUAAGUCAUCC